GGAGAGGUGGCCGAGCGGCUGAAGGCAGCGGUUUGCUAAACCGUCGUAGGGGGAAAACUUCUACCGAGGGUUCGAAUCCCUCCCUCUCCGCCA
This 93-nucleotide transfer RNA is filed under the name Candidatus Sumerlaeota bacterium. RNAcentral's name for it is "tRNA-Ser". It matches the Rfam family "tRNA". From Rfam's summary of the family: Transfer RNA (tRNA) molecules are approximately 80 nucleotides in length. Their secondary structure includes four short double-helical elements and three loops (D, anti-codon, and T loops). RNAcentral also lists the same sequence under 1 other name. The record is from RNAcentral. Lineage: Bacteria; Candidatus Sumerlaeota.